AGUGAACGCUGGCGGUAGGCCUAACACAUGCAAGUCGAACGGCAGCACAGUAAGAGCUUGCUCUUACGGGUGGCGAGUGGCGGACGGGUGAGGAAUACAUCGGAAUCUACUUUUUCGUGGGGGAUAACGUAGGGAAACUUACGCUAAUACCGCAUACGACCUACGGGUGAAAGCAGGGGAUCUUCGGACCUUGCGCGAUUGAAUGAGCCGAUGUCGGAUUAGCUAGUUGGCGGGGUAAAGGCCCACCAAGGCGACGAUCCGUAGCUGGUCUGAGAGGAUGAUCAGCCACACUGGAAUUGAGACACGGUCCAGACUCCUACGGGAGGCAGAAGUGGGGAAUAUUGGACAAUGGGCGCAAGCCUGAUCCAGCCAUACCGCGUGGGUGAAGAAGGCCUUCGGGUUGUAAAGCCCUUUUGUUGGGAAAGAAAAGCAGCAGGUUAAUACCCCGCUGUUCUGACGGUACCCAAAGAAUAAGCACCGGCUAACUUCG
This 490-nucleotide ribosomal RNA is filed under the name uncultured bacterium. RNAcentral's name for it is "partial 16S ribosomal RNA". It matches the Rfam family "Bacterial small subunit ribosomal RNA", at positions 29 to 505 of the family's 1533-position model. The record is from RNAcentral.